Long non-coding RNA from Physella acuta, 398 nucleotides. RefSeq lists it as uncharacterized. Lineage: Eukaryota; Metazoa; Mollusca; Gastropoda; Physidae. The record is from RefSeq and is a predicted model, not a curated record.
UUACAACUUCCGGAACGACAAUGCCAGAUUUUCAGUUUCCGAGAAAUUAUAUUUCUUUGAUAGUACAUUUUCUUUAUGUUAACUAAACUAAGACCUAAGAAGUUCUAUUUUUUUCCAUAUAGAUCUAGAUCUAGAUUUCUAGAAGUCCUUUAAGAAAAGAUCUAGGCAAUAUUGAUUUGAAUUACUUCAAAUUCAGACCAUCACAAUUUUUUGCAUGUCAAUUAUUAAGCAUACUGUUUGGAUUCUUUAGAACUGAAUUCAAGUCUUCCAGUGUUUUUUUCAAGAUGGUGUGAAAUGCCAUAACUGCUGUGACAGAUGGAAGAAUGAAGAGCCAAACAAUAUUCAGGCUAUUAGUGUAGUAGCUGAGGCUGCGCCCAAUCCAAGUGAGGAAAAGUGCU